UACGAAGGGGGCUAGCGUUGUUCGGAAUUACUGGGCGUAAAGCGUGCGCAGGCGGCCAUUUAAGUCAGGGGUGAAAGCCUGGGGCUCAACCGCAGAACUGCCCUUGAGACUGGAUGGCUGGAGUGCGGGAGAGGUGAGUGGAAUUCCCAGUGUAGAGGUGAAAUUCGUAGAUAUUGGGAAGAACACCCGUGGCGAAGGCGGCUCACUGGCCCGUAACUGACGCUCAGGCACGAUAGCGUGGGGAGCAAACAGG
This 253-nucleotide ribosomal RNA is filed under the name uncultured bacterium. Its description in RNAcentral is "partial 16S ribosomal RNA". It matches the Rfam family "Bacterial small subunit ribosomal RNA", at positions 524 to 776 of the family's 1533-position model. The record is from RNAcentral.